This 107-nucleotide ribosomal RNA is filed under the name uncultured bacterium. RNAcentral's name for it is "partial 16S ribosomal RNA". It matches the Rfam family "Bacterial small subunit ribosomal RNA", at positions 1367 to 1482 of the family's 1533-position model. The record is from RNAcentral.
UACGUUCCCGGACCUUGCACACACCGCCCGUCAAGCCAUGGAAGCUGGGUGUACCUAAAGUCGGUAACCGCAAGGAGCUGCCUAGGGUAAAACUAGUGACUGGGGCU